UGUUGGUAUUAAGCACUUGAUUUUCCUCUGCCGACCUCUCCUGAAAGCAACAUUACCGUACCUGAUUCGCAAGAUUCCGAGGCCUUAUGAACGCUCGUUCUACUACCGUUUUGCUUCGUCUCUCUGGCUCUUCCCUCUCCAGAUUCAGGCGCAUCUGGUCCCGCUCCCGAUGCUGAUUCAUUCCAGCUUCAGGCGGAUCUUCGAGGAGUCUUUAGGUAGCUGUUGGCGCUCGCAGCCUGGAGCUCCUCUCUAUCUAUUUCUUUUAUGGUCUUAGUUCAGUAUUUUAAGCUCUGUAGUUACAUUUGAGGAUUUGGUAUUGUUAGAUGCUCGUGACUUGUGACACCCCGGUUUGGGCUGUAUCAGGUUGGAUUUUUUCGCAUUGUUAUCGAUAUUUCCGCUAUGCAGUAUUAUUAAAUCAUGUUUAGACUAUAUUGUGUUGGUUAACUGCUUUAAAAGACGAAUUGGGUUAAACUGG
Nicotiana attenuata is the source of this 475-nucleotide long non-coding RNA. RefSeq lists it as uncharacterized. The transcript has 2 exons. NCBI's taxonomy places the organism in Eukaryota, Viridiplantae, Streptophyta, Magnoliopsida, Solanales, Solanaceae. The record is from RefSeq and is a predicted model, not a curated record.